RNAcentral lists this long non-coding RNA (2407 nucleotides) under Homo sapiens (human). RNAcentral's name for it is "HSALNT0301179". The record is from RNAcentral. Lineage: Eukaryota; Metazoa; Chordata; Mammalia; Primates; Hominidae.
GCAGAAUCUGGGCUGCCGGGCACCAUUUCGCGAACCCCAAAUUCUCACACGCACCCCAUAACGUUCCGCCGGCUCCCAGGCCCGGCUGGGGGAACUAAACUUUCAUCCUCCAUCUCCCGGUCCCGGACGGCCCCCUAGAACGCGGGCAAGGUAUCUAGGCCGACGGCCCCUCAUGGGGACCCAGGCCUUCUUACUCUUUUGGGGGUACAUUCAAGGCUUAGAGGCCACCCCAGACACCAUCUCCGGAAGAGUGACGUCGGAGGACGAGGGGGCAACGGAAAGGUCAAAAAGGUCGGGGAGUUUCGUUCGCGGAGCCGCACCCCUCGGCUGAGACCCGGGCCUGCUCGGGGGCGGAGAGGAGGCCGGGCCCCAGGCUGUUGAGUGGCCGCCCUUCCAGCCAAUGGACACGUCGCCCCGCCACGCUGGGGCCCGCCCCUCCCGGCUCGCUGUACUCACUUUCCCCACUUCGGCGUUGCCCAUGGAGAUGACUUUGAUGCGGAGAGACCUGCCGGGCUCCUUCCGCUUCGGCAUGUUGGCCUCCAUGGCCCUGGCUCUCUCGGGGCCACCCGCCUCGGUCUCUUCUUGUGCACCGCUGGCCCGUCCCUCAGGCCUCCUCGUCCAAUGGCGGAGCCGCUGCUCUCGUCACCGCCUCGCCUCCGCUGCUCGCCAUCCCCGCCGCUGCCUGGCAGCAGGCGCGGGCGGUUGGGAGCGUGGGGAGCCGGGGGAGGGAGACGGGAGUCUCGCGAUGCUAGCGCGGGGCUGCUGACGUCAUCUGCAGGCCCUGGAGACGCGACUGCAGUUACCGAGUUUCUAAGGCCUCGUCCCCUGACGGGAAGGCGGCGUUGGGGGGCGGCUGGGUUUACCCUUCGAGAUCUCUGAUGGAUUUGUUGACUCCUCUGUGGGAGAAAGGCUUGGUCUACUGCAGGUGUUAACGCUAAGCCAGGCUGGAGCUGUGGACGUCAGUUUCCUCAGCUCCCCGCUGUUCGCUUCGAACGUGACCUCGACGUCUGCUCUCCCCUUCCCUUUAGCUGACAAUGUGACAGUGCUUGAAUAAAAGUCAGUCUGACAGGAACGGUAAUUUUUUUUCAGUGAAUAUCUUCAGUUACAGAAGAUAAAUAGAACUUGACAAUGAUUAUUUAUAGUGCCCUGAAAAAAAAUGGCUGCCAAUUUCCCUGUAUAUUACAAAGACAAAAGUAGCAUUGCUUCUUUUCUCACCUAACUUUAAACAUCUUAAGGGAAGUGCAUUACAGGAAGGCAAUGAGCAAAGGCUCAACAUUUCACAGUAAAGUCAGAUUUUCCACAUUUUAAUUUUAAAAUGUGUUUUUUAAACAUUAAGUUUUUUUUAAGACAAGUUUAUUCUGGAUUGUUUUGAUAAUCAAAUAAUAUAACUUAAUUCACUGAAGCUUCUAAAAUUAUUUACAAAUAUGAAAUAUAAGUCCUGGUUAGAAUUUGGAUAGUUUUAAAGCUUAAAAGAAUCCACAUGCUAACUUCUCAGUAUGAUUUAAUAAAUCAAAUUACUAAACAUGUAAUUUCUUCGACAGUUCACCUUUGGCCCUGUAAUAGGGUAACUGGUAUUGUGGAAGAAUAAUUAUAAAAUGUCAAAUCUUCAGCUGUUAUGAUUGAUUAAGUAUGGUGCUGUUGAGACUAAGCAGUAAAACAUGCCACAGAUUUAAAUUGAUUACUAUUUUUUUCAUAUUGAUGGGGUUUUUUUUGUUUUUGUUUUUGUUUUUGAGACAGAGUUUCCCUCUUGUUGCCCAGGCUAGAGUGCAGUGGCACAAUCUCUGCUCACUGCAACCCCUGUGUCCCGGGUUCAAGCAAUUCACCUGCCUCAGCCACCCGAGUAGCUGGGAUUACAGGCACCCACCGGUAUACGCAGAUAAUUUUUGUAUUUUUAGUAGAGACGGGGUUUCACCAUAUUGGCCAGGCUGGUCUCGAACUCCUGACCUCAGGUGACCCUCCUGCCUUUGCCUCCCAAAGUGUUGGGAUUACAGGCAUGAGCCACAGCGUCCGGCCCAUAUUGAUGCUUUUGACACUUUAUUGUAUAUAGCUACAUUUUCUACUGUGUGUAUUAAAUUAGUUUGGAAUCGAAAGAGCAAGAAAGUUGUUUUUUUUCCCCCACUCUUUGAAUAUAAAAAAAUAAAAAUCAGCACGAGUUAGCUGCUUUUUCCAUAGUAUGGACCUGGGAGGUAUAGUGUGAGCAUGGAUUCUGGAGCCAGCCCGAUACACUUAAUCUUGGCAUAUGUUGUAGGCAUGAGGUGGUGAUAAGGAUUGUAGGAGAUAAUGCACAGGAAGUACGUAGUAGUCUCCCAGCAAACAGCAGCCACAUGCUCUCAUUUGCUCAUACUUUUUUAUGUGUUAAGAAAAAUCCUACAUCUUUUUAAUGUGUAUUUUUAGAAAGUAAAUUAUG